CUUGACCGAGCCGAGCCACAACGGCUGCUGCGGAUCGCGGCCCUGCCCGUACGUGGCGAGCAACGCCUGUGCCUC
Molecule: non-coding RNA, 75 nt
Organism: Micromonospora nigra
Lineage: Bacteria; Bacillati; Actinomycetota; Actinomycetes; Micromonosporales; Micromonosporaceae
Rfam family: ASpks TB sRNA
Source: Rfam